AUGGUGUCUGAGCCCGACCCCGACGUCUCCCUCCUGCCCCCCGCUCCGAGCCAUAGCCACAAACCCUGCCUCCGGGCAGUCAAGUCCACGGCCUUCAAGCGCGAGGAGCGCCACAAGCGCAAGGAGCAGAAGCGGGAGUUCAAGCGGCAGCGCAAGGAGCAGAAGCGGGAGCGCAAGGAGCAGCGCAAGGAGCAGAAGCGGGAGCGCCGCAAGCGCAAGGAGGAGAAACGGGAGCGCCGCAAGCGCAAGGAGGAGAAGCGGGAGCGCCGCAAGCACAAGGAGGAGAAGCGCGAGCGCAAGCGGCAGCGCAAGCGGGAGGACAGCCUCGCCCUAGCGCUCGCCCAGUGGGAGCCCCUCGGUGCCCCAGCUGGCCCGGCUGCCGCCUCCGCCCCCGGCGCGCCACCCGAAGACAGGCCCGGGCCGCGUGACCCGUCCUCGCCCGCGGGCGCCGCGCCCUCCGCCUCCUGGAUCUGGGGCCCUCCAGCGGAACCCUCGGCCGACAGGUCCUAG
This 510-nucleotide ribosomal RNA is filed under the name Triticum aestivum (bread wheat). Its description in RNAcentral is "partial small subunit ribosomal RNA". Lineage: Eukaryota; Viridiplantae; Streptophyta; Magnoliopsida; Poales; Poaceae. The record is from RNAcentral.